This 246-nucleotide long non-coding RNA is filed under the name Elaeis guineensis (African oil palm). RNAcentral describes it as "long non-coding RNA (EGUI_LNC063700)". Lineage: Eukaryota; Viridiplantae; Streptophyta; Magnoliopsida; Arecales; Arecaceae. The record is from RNAcentral.
GUGAUAGUAGAGGCCUUGACAAUAUAGUAGUAGUGAUGAUAGUAGCGGUGAACCGGUGAUAUGGUGAAAGUGUGGUGGGGCAAAAAUGGUGAAGAGGUGGUGGAGAUUAUAGUUAUUAUGGUAAUAGUGGUAGUGGUAGAGAUGACAACAAUAAUGACAAUGGUAAUGGUGAUGGAAACAACAAUGGCAGUAAUAACAAUGAUAGAGGUAGCGGAAACAUAAUGGUGGGGGGAAAGAGACGAUGGC